Transfer RNA from Toxocara canis (dog roundworm), 72 nucleotides. It matches the Rfam family "tRNA". From Rfam's summary of the family: Transfer RNA (tRNA) molecules are approximately 80 nucleotides in length. Their secondary structure includes four short double-helical elements and three loops (D, anti-codon, and T loops). The record is from Rfam. Lineage: Eukaryota; Metazoa; Nematoda; Chromadorea; Rhabditida; Toxocaridae.
GCGGCAGUAGUUCAGUGGUAGAGCCCUCGCCUCACAUACGGGGAGACCUGGGUUCGAUUCCCGGCUGCUUCC